CCUACGGGAGGCAGCAGUAAGGAAUAUUGGUCAAUGGGGGCAACCCCGAACCAGCCAUGCCGCGUGCAGGAAGACGGCCCUAUGGGUUGUAAACUGCUUUUGAACUAGAGAAAACCUCGGUACGUGUACCGAGUUGAUAGUAUAGUUAGAAUAAGCAUCGGCUAACUUCGUGCCAGCAGCCGCGGUAAGACGAAGGAUGCAAGCGUUAUCCGGAUUCAUUGGGUUUAAAGGGUGCGUAGGCGGACUGAUAAGUCAGUGGUGAAAUCUCUCAGCUUAACUGAGAAACUGCCAUUGAUACUGUCAGUCUAGAGUACAGAUGAUGUGGGCGGAAUAUGACAUGUAGUGGUGAAAUACUUAGAUAUGUCAUAGAACACCGAUUGCGAAGGCAGCUCACGAAACUGUAACUGACGCUGAGGCACGAAAGUGCGGGGAUCAAACAGGAUUAGAUACCCUGGUAGUCCGCACCGUAAACGAUGAUUACUCGUUGUUGGCAAUAUGACCGUCAGCGACCAAGCGAAAGCGANAAGUAAUCCACCUGGGGAGUACGCCGGCGACGGUGAAACUCAAAGGAUUAGACGG
RNAcentral lists this ribosomal RNA (579 nucleotides) under uncultured bacterium. RNAcentral's name for it is "bacterial SSU rRNA". It matches the Rfam family "Bacterial small subunit ribosomal RNA", at positions 338 to 916 of the family's 1533-position model. The record is from RNAcentral.